UGGCUGAAGGACUCGGCUGCCAUUUCACUGAGAUGGGGCAUCUUGGAAGAAUCAGGUAUUGGGGGCAGAAUCCCAUGUUGAGUUUGAAGUGUCUUUUAGACAUGCACAUGGAUGAGAUCCCAAGUGGAAGCUGGAAACAUGUCUGGAUGAGAAUGUAAACUGGUUUUCAGAAUGGACAGCCAAAAGUGGGUGGGGUCACCCAGGGAAUCAACAUGGAGAAGGAGGGAUUCAGCCCUAAGCCCUGUUGGCCACUCCUCCCAAUGGGAAAGUGGAAGAUGGAACAAAGAAGGCUGAGAUGGGACAGUCAUGGAAGAGAGGCAGAAGCCAAGACCAAGUUUUAGGAAAGAAGAGCAGAUGGUGUUUCUAAGCAGAGGGAGAAGCAAGAGUAAAAGGCCAGAUGCUGCUGAGAAGUUCGGCAAGAUGGGGACUGGAUGGACCCUCUGGCUUAAAUCACUAUGAUGUCACCAUGAUGGCAACAAAGGGAAUUUGGUGGCGUGAGGAUUACAAAGGCAGGAUCACUGAAACAUACUUAAAAACACACCCCAUCCCUCCUGCUGCUCCAUUAUUCUGGGUAUUGAGUUACACUCUUUAGUGUAAUACACUGUAAGCCUCAACCUACUACUUCCAGAGGCCAUCAAGACACUCAUAAUAUUUUCAUGGUGUAAGUGCUACCUGGUCCUAUUUAUUUUGAAGCUUCCAAGGGACACAAUCCCUACCUCUGCGAUUCUACCUGUAGAAGACAAAGAAAAUACUCGGGCUUGAUUCCCAGGCCGUGGGUCACCUUAGCAUGGUUUGAUCUAUCUUUUGAUGGAACUGUCUGUUGACAAGAUUGGGGAAUUUUGGUAAGGAAAAAAAAAAGUUUCCUCUUUUCGCUAUUUCGUGGCAGCAGAUUUGGAUUUAAAACACUGUAUUUAAGAACUGGGAUUUAAUCCUUCCUCUGCCAAAGCGAGGGCAACCAUCCCACUGGGGCAACACAUGGCACUUCCAUGAAACAAGCCCCACUGCUUUUGUGCUUGCAUGUCUGGGGUGUGCUGGACUCCAUUGGAGGAUGUAGGGAUAGGACAGGAGACCUUGAUCCUGUCCUCAUAUUCUCAUGGUAAAUGUUAGAGGACAAAGGUACCAACAAACAAGUUCAUCUCAGGAGAUGUAUGGACUUCACAGCAGAAUAUCAUGUCAGAGGAGGGCUGCGGCCACUGCCUGCCCCAAAGUGGCCUGGGAAGGACCCCAGAGGGAGUGAUGAUAGAUGACAAAAUGGCAAUCGAGGAAAGGUUUCAAGAAGGAGCUGCCUGAGGGUAGAAGCAACAGAGACCCUUGACUGAGUCUGGAUUUAAUUUGAGGUACAGUGAGAGAAACGUGGGAUUUAUUUGGUUCUCCCAAAAUGGCACAAAGUCUGUGGGCAGUGGGUAGUGUGAGAAGAUGGCUGAAGAACUGUUGUAAUGCCCCAGACGCAGACUAGAAAUUUAAGUGGAGAUGGCCAAAAGUGGCUGGACAUGGGACAUUCUACAGAUGGACAGUCUGCUGGAUCUGGGCAUGAGACAAAAAGAGAAAUCAAGGAUGAAAUCCUGCAUUACUGGCCAGAGAAACUGAGUGGACAGCCAAGCCAUUGUGUUAGGUUGUGAGGCUUCAGCAGAGUGUAUUUCAGCCGUAUUUCAUUUAUGCUAAAUUUCAAAUAUUAACUAGAAACCUAAGUAAAGCAUCUUCCAAUAGUGGAUAAGUCCUGGUCAUUGAGAACAGAGCCCAAUCCAGGGAAUGGAGAUAACAUAUAAUGGCCUUACUUAGGGUAAGCAGUUUACUGAAGAGUAGAGGAGACCAAAGACAGCAAAUGAAGAGAUGUAGAAACAGGGGUCAUGGGAUCUUGGAGAAGGUAAUGUGUAAGAAUCAAGGCUGUAUCAGAAGCUGACAAGGUGUCUCUGAAGAUACCCCCGAAAAUGGACCACUGGCUUUGACAGAGGGUUCUCCUCAUAUAAAUGAAUCAGAAGAUACCAGCAUUCUAUUUAAGGGAUAGGAAGAGCUGCUUUGAUUCGGGAGAAUAUCCUAUUGUGCAGUUUUAAGGAGGAAAUUACUUUGGGAUAAGAAAUGUUGAGACUUGGCACCAGCAGCAGGAGGAUGUUUACCACAUUCCCUCUUCCAAAGGCACUCAAAACACCCUCGCUUGGUGUCCUCCAGGGAGUCUUUGAGUCAUUUUUACAUUUUUAUGACUCCAAUUACUUUUCCAUCAUGCUAACUAAGCGACUGAGUAUCUGCUGCGGCAGGGAAAAGGCUUUGGUCUUACACCCAAGAAGGAUAGUAAAGACUUCCCCACAACAUGGAAUGCCCUCGACCAAGACCCAAGCAUCGAGUUGAGGAGAAGACUCGUCAACUUCAGAAUUUUGUAAGACACUUAAUCCUACACCAAGAGGAACUGACGUGUGACUUGUAGCGCAGACUGCAAGAAAGAGCAGAAUUCUCUCCUGACUGUUCACAGAUACAGGUCAAGUAUUUCUUACCCAAAAUGCUAUGGACCAGAAGUCUUUCUGAUUUUGAAUUUUUUUUUUUCAGAUUUGGGAACAUAUGCAGGUACAUAAUGAAGUUAUCUGAGACCCAAGUCUAAACAUGAAACUUACUUUCAUUUCAUAUAUACCCUAUCCAGUUAGCAUGAAGGUCACAAUAUUUCUAACAAUUUUGUGCAUGAAACAAGGUUUCAUGGUAUGCAAUUUUCCAUUUGGAAUAUCAUGCUGGUGCUCAAAAAACUUCUGAAUUUGAAGCAUUUUGGAUUUUGGAUUAGAUAUGCUCAACUUGUUUUACUAAAGCAUUGAUGGUCAUGUACUGUGGAUAUAACCAGCCUCCUCCAUUUGGUAAACUGCGUAUUCCAACACAAGCACAAACACAAAAUGGCAGGGUGUUUGAUCACAUGCACCAUGACAAGCCAUCGUACAGGAUAAUCAGGGGGAAAAGCUGACUGCCAAUGACUUCCCAUUUUCUAAUGAAACUAAGUCAAAGCAGUGGUAAGAAUGAGCAGCUCACUCUGCCAAUGAAAAUCACUUUUUAUUCCUUGCAGAACAAGUGGGCCUGUUUGGAGAACACCAAUGAGCACAGAUAAGUCCUAACUCCAUUCAACCUGGGCUUUAAUUCUGCAGCAGGACUCUCACCAUACUGGGUUCGCACACCAGUAAGGCAAAGAUGUAGAUUUGGGGCAAAAGUAUGGCAAGUUUUCCUGCAAAAGACAUAGAUCAUUGAAAUGCUUAGGUUUCCAGCGCUCCUGAAAGGCUUUUUUGGAUCCUCCAAAAUGGAACAGGAAACGUGAAUUUAUAAGGAAGUCUCAAGAGAUGCAGAGUUUCCCUAAAGUACUGGACUUCCAUGGUUUUCGGUUUUACUUUUUUCUCUUCGAAACAAUAGGUAACUGAACUCCAGAAAUUGCAAGACAUAAUGCACGACACACUCACCUCUGUCUCAGGGCCUGCCUGGUACAGAACUUCACAGAGAAGUGUGGGAUCCAGGACCAGACGAUCAGAAGGUCCAUCCUUACCUUUGUCACCUUAACCUCAGUUACAGCAUUAAUCUCCAAGAUAAACAGAGAACACAGGAAACCAAAUAACCCAAUCAAUAAGUGGGUGAAGGAACUGAACAAACACUUCUCAGAAGAGAAGAAGUACAAAUGGUCAACAAAUAUGUGAAAAAAAUAAAAUGUUCACCACCUCUAGAAAUUAGUGAAAUGCAAAGCAAAACGACACUGAAAUUCCACCUCACUCUAGUCGGAACGACAAUUAUUAAGAAUACAAGUAAUAAUAAGUGUUGGUGAGGA
Non-coding RNA from Ictidomys tridecemlineatus (thirteen-lined ground squirrel), 3781 nucleotides. Lineage: Eukaryota; Metazoa; Chordata; Mammalia; Rodentia; Sciuridae. The record is from RefSeq and is a predicted model, not a curated record.